GACGAACGCUGGCGGCGUGCUUAACACAUGCGAGUCGAACGGCAAGGCCCUGCUGUUGUGGGGUGCUCGAGUGGCGAACGCGUGAGUGACACGUGAGUAACCUGCCCUUGACUUUGGGGUAACUUCACGAAACUGGGGCUACUCCCGUAUAGGAUAUGCUGCUGCAUGGUGGGGGUUGGAAAGUCUCGGCGGUUGGGGAUGGACUCGCGGCUUAUCAGCUUGUUGGUUGGGUAGUGGCUUACCGAGGCUUUGGCGGGUCGCCGGCCUGAGAGGGUGGACGGCCACCUUGGGACUGAGAGAGGGCCCAGACUGCAACGGGAGGCAGCAGUGGGGAAUAUGGUACAGUGGGCGGGAGUGUGAGGCAGAGACGCCGCGGUCGGGAUGACGGCCUGCGGGGUGUAAACCGCUGUAGCCUGUGACGAAGCGUGAGUGACGGUAAUGGGUGAAGAAGCACCGGCUAACUACGUG
Molecule: ribosomal RNA, 468 nt
Filed under: uncultured bacterium
Lineage: Bacteria
Description: partial 16S ribosomal RNA
Rfam family: Bacterial small subunit ribosomal RNA
Source: RNAcentral